This 444-nucleotide ribosomal RNA is filed under the name uncultured Roseomonas sp. RNAcentral's name for it is "bacterial SSU rRNA". It matches the Rfam family "Bacterial small subunit ribosomal RNA", at positions 8 to 493 of the family's 1533-position model. The record is from RNAcentral. Lineage: Bacteria; Pseudomonadati; Pseudomonadota; Alphaproteobacteria; Acetobacterales; Roseomonadaceae.
AGAGUUUGAUCAUGGCUCAGAACGAACGCUGGCGGCAUGCCUAACACAUGCAAGUCGAACGGACGGUGGCAACACCGUUAGUGGCGAACGGGUGAGUAACGCGUGGGAACCUGCCCAAUAGUGUGGGAUAACUACGGGAAACUGUAGCUAAUACCGCAUGUGUCCUGAGGGACAAAGGAGCAAUCCGCUAUUGGAGGGGCCCGCGUCGGAUUAGCUAGUUGGUGGGGUAACGGCCUACCAAGGCGACGAUCCGUAGCUGGUCUGAGAGGAUGGCCAGCCACACUGGGACUGAGACACGGCCCAGACUCCUACGGGAGGCAGCAGUGGGGAAUAUUGGACAAUGGGGGAAACCCUGAUCCAGCAAUGCCGCGUGGGUGAUGAAGGCCUUCGGGUUGUAAAGCCCUUUUGGCGGGGACGAUGAUGACGGUACCCGCAGAAUAGCCC